GGAGGGUGUCGGCAUGUGGUCCCGCCUGUCGCGGCGGCCGGGCUGCUAUCGUCAACGUGGAGCUGGUCGUGUGUGGCUUGGGGCCUGGUUGUGCAGUUACCCAGCGCACACUUACACAUCAAAUUGGGUAAGGUACUUGCUUCUACAACUGGACCAAAGAUGGACUGCUAACUACCAUUUUUACUGCCAAACUGCAUGCCAAACUUCAUUCAUAUGGAAAUAUCCAGAAAAAGGAAUUAGCACAGAGUUCUCUGAGCACUGGUAUUAAUGACAUUUCCUACAGAUUUGUACCUUGUGAAUAAACUCUGGUGUGUAGGAAGGAAUAAAGUCAUGGGGAAGAUAGAUUGUUUUAGGGCUGAGAUAUUCAGAGCAUCUCUCCUCACACAUCUGUAGCACUCAGUAAAUGUUUUAUACUUUCACACUGCGCUCUUUUCCUGUGUAGGGACACUAUUAAAAUAUCUCUGGCCUAUAUGCCCACUUUCAUUAAAUUCGCAAAAAACUGUUGAGACAUUUGUCUCUCUGCCAAAUAUGGCUGAAAUUGAAGGAAGAGCUAAAAACUAUUAACAGAGGUUAAGGAAGGUGACUAGACAGAUGCAUUCUUUGAACAGACCACCAUAACUAUUCACAAACACACGGUAAGGCACUCUGAUUUGGUGGUCCCCAGAAGGUAAUGUGUGCUCUGGAAACUUUCCCUGAAGAACUCUGGCUCUCAUGGUAAUGGGUGAUUAUUGUUGUUUGUUUUUUUUUUAAUUCACAUGACAAUUGUGCAAUAUAAUAGAAAUAAAAAUUUGUAUAUUACAGAUACGACAUGGCAUAGUCAUGCUUUUCUAAUUGCGAAAUGUAAACAAAAGAUGACUGUGAAAUUAGAAUGAAAAUAAAAAUGAAGAGAA
Molecule: long non-coding RNA, 890 nt
Organism: Pezoporus occidentalis (night parrot)
Lineage: Eukaryota; Metazoa; Chordata; Aves; Psittaciformes; Psittacidae
Exons: 2
Source: RefSeq, a predicted model, not a curated record